AGAGCGAACGCUGGCGGAAUGCUUAACACAUGCAAGUCGCGCGGUCAGCAAUGGCAGCGGCGGACGGGUGAGUAACGCGUAGGAAUAUGUCCAGAGGUGGGGGACAACCCCGGGAAACUGGGGCUAAUACCGCAUAUGAGCUGAGGCUCAAAGCCGUGAGGCGCCUUUGGAGUAGCCUGCGUCCGAUUAGCUUGUUGGUGGGGUAAAGGCCUACCAAGGCGACGAUCGGUAGCUGGUCUGAGAGGACGACCAGCCACACUGGGACUGAGACACGGCCCAGACUCCUACGGGAGGCAGCAGUGGGGAAUAUUGGACAAUGGGCGCAAGCCUGAUCCAGCAAUUCCGCGUGGGUGAAGAAGGUCUUCGGAUUGUAAAGCCCUUUCGACGGGGACGAUGAUGACGGUACCCGUAGAAGAAGCCCCGGCUAACUUCGUGCCAGCAGCCGC
RNAcentral lists this ribosomal RNA (446 nucleotides) under uncultured bacterium. RNAcentral's name for it is "SSU rRNA". It matches the Rfam family "Bacterial small subunit ribosomal RNA", at positions 26 to 518 of the family's 1533-position model. The record is from RNAcentral.